This 1540-nucleotide ribosomal RNA is filed under the name Klebsiella pneumoniae. RNAcentral describes it as "bacterial SSU rRNA". It matches the Rfam family "Bacterial small subunit ribosomal RNA". The record is from RNAcentral. Lineage: Bacteria; Pseudomonadati; Pseudomonadota; Gammaproteobacteria; Enterobacterales; Enterobacteriaceae.
AAAUUGAAGAGUUUGAUCAUGGCUCAGAUUGAACGCUGGCGGCAGGCCUAACACAUGCAAGUCGAGCGGUAGCACAGAGAGCUUGCUCUCGGGUGACGAGCGGCGGACGGGUGAGUAAUGUCUGGGAAACUGCCUGAUGGAGGGGGAUAACUACUGGAAACGGUAGCUAAUACCGCAUAACGUCGCAAGACCAAAGUGGGGGACCUUCGGGCCUCAUGCCAUCAGAUGUGCCCAGAUGGGAUUAGCUAGUAGGUGAGGUAACGGCUCACCUAGGCGACGAUCCCUAGCUGGUCUGAGAGGAUGACCAGCCACACUGGAACUGAGACACGGUCCAGACUCCUACGGGAGGCAGCAGUGGGGAAUAUUGCACAAUGGGCGCAAGCCUGAUGCAGCCAUGCCGCGUGUGUGAAGAAGGCCUUCGGGUUGUAAAGCACUUUCAGCGGGGAGGAAGGCGUUAAGGUUAAUAACCUUGGCGAUUGACGUUACCCGCAGAAGAAGCACCGGCUAACUCCGUGCCAGCAGCCGCGGUAAUACGGAGGGUGCAAGCGUUAAUCGGAAUUACUGGGCGUAAAGCGCACGCAGGCGGUCUGUCAAGUCGGAUGUGAAAUCCCCGGGCUUAACCUGGGAACUGCAUUCGAAACUGGCAGGCUAGAGUCUUGUAGAGGGGGGUAGAAUUCCAGGUGUAGCGGUGAAAUGCGUAGAGAUCUGGAGGAAUACCGGUGGCGAAGGCGGCCCCCUGGACAAAGACUGACGCUCAGGUGCGAAAGCGUGGGGAGCAAACAGGAUUAGAUACCCUGGUAGUCCACGCCGUAAACGAUGUCGAUUUGGAGGUUGUGCCCUUGAGGCGUGGCUUCCGGAGCUAACGCGUUAAAUCGACCGCCUGGGGAGUACGGCCGCAAGGUUAAAACUCAAAUGAAUUGACGGGGGCCCGCACAAGCGGUGGAGCAUGUGGUUUAAUUCGAUGCAACGCGAAGAACCUUACCUGGUCUUGACAUCCACAGAACUUAGCAGAGAUGCUUUGGUGCCUUCGGGAACUGUGAGACAGGUGCUGCAUGGCUGUCGUCAGCUCGUGUUGUGAAAUGUUGGGUUAAGUCCCGCAACGAGCGCAACCCUUAUCCUUUGUUGCCAGCGGUCCGGCCGGGAACUCAAAGGAGACUGCCAGUGAUAAACUGGAGGAAGGUGGGGAUAACGUCAAGUCAUCAUGGCCCUUACGACCAGGGCUACACACGUGCUACAAUGGCAUAUACAAAGAGAAGCGACCUCGCGAGAGCAAGCGGACCUCAUAAAGUAUGUCGUAGUCCGGAUUGGAGUCUGCAACUCGACUCCAUGAAGUCGGAAUCGCUAGUAAUCGUAGAUCAGAAUGCUACGGUGAAUACGUUCCCGGGCCUUGUACACACCGCCCGUCACACCAUGGGAGUGGGUUGCAAAAGAAGUAGGUAGCUUAACCUUCGGGAGGGCGCUUACCACUUUGUGAUUCAUGACUGGGGUGAAGUCGUAACAAGGUAACCGUAGGGGAACCUGCGGUUGGAUCACCUCCUUA